This 409-nucleotide long non-coding RNA is filed under the name Malus domestica (apple). Its description in RNAcentral is "long non-coding RNA (MDOM_LNC008834)". Lineage: Eukaryota; Viridiplantae; Streptophyta; Magnoliopsida; Rosales; Rosaceae. The record is from RNAcentral.
AGUUGCUUUUCGAUAAGCUAUGAAUACUCAACGCCCCAAAUUAACCGUGAAUUGCACUAAUUAACCCUCAAUUUUUUCCACAAGUUAUUAGGUUGGAUGAUUGCAUACGACAACCCAAAACAUUCCCUACAAGUUCCCUACAUGAAUUGCAUAAUAGAGAUACAAGCAAGAAUCAUUAAGUUCUAUGAAAAACAUAAGCAUUAACGAGGCACUCGUUACUAUGAUUUGCAUGAAACUUAUGCCAAGAGUUUACUUAACGUGAUUGUGACUAGCAACCUUCACUACUUGUGAAUAUAAGUUUAUAACGAUUAGGUGAAACUCCCUUAUAUUCUAGCAUCAAAUUCAUGCAUGAAAAUUAAGCGUGCACUCUUAACCAACAUACACAAAUUAGUUUUUAUAUGAACGGAUA